RNAcentral lists this ribosomal RNA (507 nucleotides) under uncultured bacterium. Its description in RNAcentral is "bacterial SSU rRNA". It matches the Rfam family "Bacterial small subunit ribosomal RNA", at positions 501 to 1007 of the family's 1533-position model. The record is from RNAcentral.
CUACGUGCCAGCAGCCGCGGUAAUACGGAAGGUCCAGGCGUUAUCCGGAUUUAUUGGGUUUAAAGGGAGCGUAGGCUGGAUAUUAAGUGUGUUGUGAAAUGUAGACGCUCAACGUCYUGACUUGCAGCGCAUACUGGUUUCCUUGAGUACGCACAACGCAGGCGGAAUUCGUCGUGUAGCGGUGAAAUGCUUAGAUAUGACGAAGAACUCCUAUUGCGAAGGCAGCUUGCGGGAGCGUUACUGACGCUGAAGCUCGAAAGUGCGGGUAUCGAACAGGAUUAGAUACCCUGGUAGUCCGCACGGUAAACAAUGGAUGCCCGUUUUUGGCUUGUUUUAAGCCAGAGACCAAGCGAAAGCAUUAAGCAUCCCACCUGGGGAGUACGCCGGCAACGGUGAAACUCAAAGGAAUUGACGGGGGCCCGCACAAGCGGAGGAACAUGUGGUUUAAUUCGAUGAUACGCGAGGAACCUUACCCGGGCUUGAAUUGCAGAGGAAGGAUUUAGAGAU